UCCUCCUUAGCUCAGUCGGUAGAGCAUGCGGCUGUUAAUCGCAGAGUCGUUGGUUCGAGUCCAACAGGGGGAGCCA
RNAcentral lists this transfer RNA (76 nucleotides) under Clostridia bacterium. RNAcentral's name for it is "tRNA-Asn". It matches the Rfam family "tRNA". Rfam says of the family: Transfer RNA (tRNA) molecules are approximately 80 nucleotides in length. Their secondary structure includes four short double-helical elements and three loops (D, anti-codon, and T loops). Further hydrogen bonds mediate the characteristic L-shaped molecular structure. tRNAs have two regions of fundamental functional importance: the anti-codon, which is responsible for specific mRNA codon recognition, and the 3' end, to which the tRNAs corresponding amino acid is attached (by aminoacyl-tRNA synthetases). tRNAs cope with the degeneracy of the genetic code in two manners: having more than one tRNA (with a specific anti-codon) for a particular amino acid; and 'wobble' base-pairing, i.e. permitting non-standard base-pairing at the 3rd anti-codon position. The record is from RNAcentral. Lineage: Bacteria; Bacillati; Bacillota; Clostridia.